AACGAACGCUGGCGGCAUGCCUAACACAUGCAAGUCGAACGAGACCUUCGGGUCUAGUGGCGCACGGGUGCGUAACGCGUGGGAACCUGCCCUUAGGUUCGGAAUAACUCCCCGAAAGGGGUGCUAAUACCGGAUAAUGUCUUCGGACCAAAGAUUUAUCGCCUUUGGAUGGGCCCGCGUUGGAUUAGCUAGUUGGUAGGGUAAAAGCCUACCAAGGCGACGAUCCAUAGCUGGUCUGAGAGGAUGAUCAGCCACACUGGGACUGAGACACGGCCCAGACUCCUACGGGAAGCAGCAGUGGGGAAUAUUGGACCAUGGGCGAAAGCCUGAUCCAGCAAUGCCGCGUGAGUGAUGAAGGCCUUAGGGUUGUAAAGCUCUUUUACCCGGGAUGAUAAUGACAGUACCGGGAGGAUAAGCUCCGGCUAACUCCGUG
This 433-nucleotide ribosomal RNA is filed under the name uncultured bacterium. RNAcentral's name for it is "partial 16S ribosomal RNA". It matches the Rfam family "Bacterial small subunit ribosomal RNA", at positions 29 to 507 of the family's 1533-position model. The record is from RNAcentral.